RNAcentral lists this ribosomal RNA (401 nucleotides) under uncultured bacterium. Its description in RNAcentral is "bacterial SSU rRNA". It matches the Rfam family "Bacterial small subunit ribosomal RNA", at positions 29 to 417 of the family's 1533-position model. The record is from RNAcentral.
AAUCAACGCUGGCGGCGUGCCUAACACAUGCAAGUCGAACGCGAAAGCCCCGCAAGGGGUAAGUAGAGUGGCAAACGGGUGAGUAACACGUGGGUGACCUGCCUUAGAGUGGGGGAUAACGUCCCGAAAGGGACGCUAAUACCGCAUAACAUCCUGCCUUUGAAGAGGUGGAGAUCAAAGCCGGGGACCGCAAGGCCUGGCGCUCAAAGAGGGGCCCGCGCCUGAUUAGCUAGUUGGUGAGGAAUGGCUCACCAAGGCAACGAUCAGUAUCCGGCCUGGGAGGGCGGACGGACACACUGGGACUGAGACACGGCCCAGACUCCUACGGGAGGCAGCAGUGGGGAAUUGUUCGCAAUGGGCGCAAGCCUGACGACGCAACGCCGCGUGGAGGAUGAAAGACC